AAAAGAGAAAUAUUAGUUUGCUAAUUCUGCACUGUUUAAGAAAACGAAAACUAAGAGAGACGGUACAGUUGAUAGCAUACACUCUGUUAAAAGCAAAGGGAUAUAUAUAAAAUUAACAGAGAAACUUUCACACUUUACAAAGUUUUAGAUGCUGGAAGCACAAUCAACUAGGAACAAUUGAGAUCCAGAGAAUAUAACUUCCUAAUUGCCCUAAAAUAUUCAUCUCAUAUAAAAUCUACUUGUGGGAGUCCAUAAGACUUUUUCCACUUUCUCAAUCUCUCUUGUUGACAUCCCAUACCUUUCUCAGGAUCCACCUGAAAGUCACUUUCCUAAUCCCUUCCAACUACAAAUCUCCUUUAGUUGGUUUCACAGCACUAAUGUACUUCUUUGUAUGACAUUUACCUGAGUAUGUGCCUUCUUAUCCCCAGAAGACUGCGUGACUUCUUUGAGAGCAGACCAUAUAACUAUAUGUAUUUGUAGCUCACCCCAUGAAUGGUGGCUGCUUACUAAAUGUUCCUUGGAUGAAGAAUGAAUGAUAUAGUUUUGUUUUGUCCUAUACUUCUAUAGUGACUCAAACAUUAAAAUGUUCUCAUGUUCUCUUGAGAGUAACUAAUAAAACCAUUCAAUUCUAAUUCAAUAACACCUUAGCUACCUGGCAGAUUUGGAAUGGAUAAGAAAAGAUCACUUUCUGGAUAACUGAAAGUUAAAGACUGUUUAAGUUGGUUUCAUGAGUUAAGCUUCUCCUAAGCUUGGAUAAGCACAAGUUAUUAGAAUAUCAAUCUCUAAAGAAUUGAAACUGAAGGUCAUCUAAAGGCCAAUUGAGAUGAGUAUAAGCAGACUGCAAAACAUUGCCAAAGAAUUAUGUAAGAGAAGUGAUAUGAAAAAUAUCAUGAGGGAAAAGAAUGAUUUAAAAAAAAAGAUGGACUGGUCAGGUAAUGAGUGCAUAGGAACUGAUGAACUAUCAGCAUAAUUGUUUAGUAUGAUACACAAUAUCAACAGCUGAAGAAGAUGAAGCAAAAGACCUGCCUUUAAGUUAGCUAAGUCUCAACUCUGAGAUACCACUACACACCUGUCAGAUUAGCUAGAAUGGCAGGGAAAGAUAAUGCGGAAUGUUGGAGGGGAUGUAGGAAAACAGGGACACUGAUACAUUGUUGGUGGAAUUGUGAACACAUCCAGCCAUUCUGGAGAGCAAUUUGGAACUAUGCUCAAAAAGUUAUCAAACUGUGCAUACCCUUUGAUCCAGCAGUGUUUCUACUGGGCUUAUACCCCAAAGAGAUACUAAAGAAGGGAAAGGGACCUGUAUGUGCCAAAAUGUUUGUGGCAGCCCUGUUUGUAGUGGCUAGAAGCUGGAAAAUGAAAGGAUGUCCAUCAAUUGGAGAAUAAUUGAGUAAAUUGUGGUAUAUGAAUGCUAUGGAAUAUUAUUGUUCUGUAAGGAAUGACCAGCAGGAUGAAUAAAGAGAGGACUGGCGAGACUUACAUGAAUUGAUGCUAAGUGAAAUGAGCAGAACCAGGAGAUCAUUAUAUACCUCAACAACGAUACUGUUUGAGGACGUAUUCUGAUGGAAGUGGAUCUCUUCGAUAAAGAGAGCUUUAAUUGAUCAAAGAUGGACAGAAGCAGCUACACCCAGAGAAAGAACACUGGGAAAUGAAUAUAAACUGCUUGCAUUUUUGUUUUUCUUCCCGGGUUAUUUAUACCUUCUGAAUUCAAUUCUCCCUGUGCAACAAGAAAACUGUUCGGUUCGGCACACAUAUAUUUUUUCUAGGAUAUACUGUAACCCAUUCAACAUGUAAAGGACUGCUUGCCAUCUGGGGGAAGGGGUGGAGGGAGAGAGGGGGAAAAUCGGAACAGAAGUGAAUGCAAGGGAUAAUGCUGUAAAAAAUUACCCUGGCAUGCGUUCUAUCAAUAAAAAGUUAUUAAAAAAAAAAAAAGUUAGCUAAGUCUCUCCCUACAAUUAAUAUGGUGAAGAAUUUUAGGCUCUUUUAAUAUCUUUGGGAAACCAAUGCAGCCUUGGAAUUGUUCACUUAUUAUUUCUCAUGACAAAAAUUGACCAAUUUCUUUUCUCAUAGUCGUGUCUCCUUGAUGAUCUAUUUUUGGCUACUUCUCUUAUGCAUAUGAAUCAUUAACAAUAUAUUUCAGCCUACUUACAUUUAUAUCUGAUUCUUUAGUUAUCUAUGAAUCUAAUUCUUCUGAGACCUUUUACAAUUACACAGCAUUUCUAGGCAAAUAAUGGUUUUUUAAAAAUGCUUUUCAAGGGAAGACCUACAUAAAUCAAUGCAAAGUGAAGUAAACAGAACCAGGAAACCAACGAACACAAUGAUUACAAUACAAACAGCAGGAAAUUAAUUAUGAUAACCAAGAAGCUCCCGAGAAGAAUUGAAGAAAUGCAUUUUUCUUUACUGCAGAGGCAAGGACCCAUGACAUGAAAUGGAAUGCUGCAGGUUUAUUUUGUUUAAUUUUUUUUCUCUUUUUUAAUCUUUCUUACAAGGGAUGACUCAUUUUACUGAGGGGAAAAAAUAAUCCUAAGGUCAUUAAAUGUGAGCCCCCUUCUGUUCUCUUUAGUUCAAAACCUCCUGAUAUCUCGAAUUCUUUUUUCCUUUCCCCUAGUCUCUGACAAAGAGGAAGCCCCUCUCUUUGCCAAAGUCAAGCCCUCCUGUGGUGCAUUUGAUCCCACCUCUCCUACUUUCUAUACCCAAGUUUAAAUCUGACUUCAGACACUUAUUAACUGUGUGUCUCUGAUCAAGUCACUUAACCUCUGUUUAUCUCAGUUUCCUAAAAUGGAAAACAGAGGUAAUGGCACUUCUCAAGGUUGUUGUGAGAAUCAUAAAAAUGAGAUAAUUGUAAAAUACUUAACUCAAUGCCUGCAAUAUAGCAGGUACCUAAGUGUAUGUUUCCUCCCUCCCUUUCUUAAAGCCCUAUACAAUUUGGUUUCAAUCUCUCUUUCCAAUCUUAAUAAAUGUUACUAUCUCUGCUGAAAUUUGUGAUUCAGCCAAACUAGUUUUCCCUCUGUUCCUCAUACAAGGAUCCCAUCUGUCAUCUCUCUGGUUUUGUACUGGCAUUUCCUCAUCCCUAGAAUCUACUCUCCUCCUUACCGAAGAGAUGCCCUCUUACUUUAAGCAAAUUUUUACAGUCGAUAAAUUUUCCAAGAUGCAGCACAUUCUAACACAGGAAUCCGACACACAGCCACUGCCAUUGAGACCAACUUUCCUAGUAAGACCAUGCGGC
Molecule: long non-coding RNA, 3223 nt
Organism: Antechinus flavipes (yellow-footed antechinus)
Lineage: Eukaryota; Metazoa; Chordata; Mammalia; Dasyuromorphia; Dasyuridae
Exons: 3
Source: RefSeq, a predicted model, not a curated record